CCGCUGAAUUUAAGCAUAUCACUAAGCGGAGGAAAAGAAACUAACAAGGAUUCCCCUAGUAACGGCGAGUGAAGCGGGAAGAGCCCAGCACCGAAUCUUCUGUCUUUGAGGCAGUAAGACCUGUGGUGUUUAGGACAGCCUUUGGGGUUCCGUUGUCGCGUCCAAGUCCUCCUGAUCGGGGCCUUUCCCAUAGCGGGUGUCAGGCCUCUACUGGCGCGCGACGGAGUCUCUUUGAGCGCCCUAGGAGUCGGGUUGUUUGGGAAUGCAGCCCAAAGUGGGUGGUAAACUCCAUCUAAGGCUAAAUACUGACACGAGUCCGAUAGCGGACAAGUACCGUGAGGGAAAGUGAAAAGAACUUUGAAGAGAGAGUC
This 371-nucleotide ribosomal RNA is filed under the name Vanadis antarctica. Its description in RNAcentral is "partial large subunit ribosomal RNA". It matches the Rfam family "Eukaryotic large subunit ribosomal RNA", at positions 25 to 389 of the family's 3401-position model. Lineage: Eukaryota; Metazoa; Annelida; Polychaeta; Phyllodocida; Alciopidae. The record is from RNAcentral.